This 66-nucleotide transfer RNA is filed under the name Californiconus californicus. Its description in RNAcentral is "tRNA-Trp". The record is from RNAcentral. Lineage: Eukaryota; Metazoa; Mollusca; Gastropoda; Neogastropoda; Conidae.
AAGAUUUUAAGUUAAAGAAACUAUGAGCCUUCAAAGCUCAAAAUAAAGAAGAAUCUUUAAAUCUUG